Molecule: ribosomal RNA, 254 nt
Filed under: uncultured bacterium
Lineage: Bacteria
Description: partial 16S ribosomal RNA
Rfam family: Bacterial small subunit ribosomal RNA
Source: RNAcentral
UACGGGGGGAGCAAGCGUUGUUCGGAUUUACUGGGCGUAAAGGGCGCGUAGGCGGUCGUGACAAGUCACUUGUGAAAUCUCCGGGCUUAACUCGGAACGGUCAAGUGAUACUGUCGGACUAGAGUACAGAAGGGGCAACUGGAAUUCUCGGUGUAGCGGUGAAAUGCGUAGAUAUCUGGAGGAAUACCGGUGGCGAAGGCGGCAUCCUGGACCGAGAUUGACGCUGAUGAGCGAAAGCUAGGGGAGCAAACGGG